GUCCUUGCCAACCUGGGUCGUUCAACUGGGAUUGACCCACAAUAUCGAGCUGCCAUUGUGAAGGUAUAUUUGAAUGGAACACACAUUGGUUUGGAAUGGAGCUAACCUACUGAUGGUGCCUUAAAAAGCGACAACAGAGAGGAGAGAGCAGAAUGAGCUGUGCCCAUACCGUAGAUCUUUGUGUUCUUCACCCCAGGUCAGCCAUCUACUAAUCCUGCAGUGAUCUUUGAGAACUCGGAACAAAUAGAAGCUUUCCUGAAAGGCUCCUGUUGUUUCCUGCAGCAAUUUCCGACUCAGAGUCAAUAAAUUAAUUCAGUCUUGUGCUCAGCAAGAAGUUCGAGCUCAGCUCCAAAAAGUACAAAUGCACAACCCGUCGUUGCUGCUGUAAGCACUCUGUGUGCUGCUAGAAUGCCUUCAUACCGGGCUGCAAAAGUCUCUAGGGAUGUAUGUGGGUUAUUCUCCAGCUCCAGUAAGCGAAACAAAAGCGAAGCAUGGAAUGGGCACGCGGUGCUCAAACCUGGGGAGCUCCCAUCGGCAUUUUGUACCUGCUGAGAAUCAGGGGAAUUUCAAGAGAAAUCCAGAACUUCAAGCCACUGCAGAAGGGCUGUUUCUGGAACCUGAAUUACCAUUCCUUCAGCUAACUCGGGCACCUCUGACGCUGUUGGAAGUACAGCCUAAGCUGAAUGCAAAGGACAAAAAGUACGCUGAAUUGUUUAAAACCAUAUCUACACAUUUUUAAUUUAAAAAAAUACAUGAUUAGCAGAAAAAAAAAAUGGUGUAUGAAAACAUGGUUUUGGCUUUUUAAUCCCAUUUGGCCAAGCUAAGAGCACUAAAAAAGAGAAAAGAAUUUCUCCUCGAUGCAUUUGGGUUGUCUCUCUCAUGGAAAAUGAUGUCUAAAGCCCCAGAACUGGAAGACAGUUUUAGGCAGCACUGCCUGUAAUUCUCCUCUAAAGACAGUAUAAUACAAACACCAAAAGCAGAUCAGUUUCUCCUUUUAUACAUAUAUAUGAAACCAGAAACUGGAAGGAAGUAACAUUUUACACGUGGAAAACAGAGAUCUGGCAUGAGACAUAGAGACUUCCAAGGCCAGGCUGGACCGGGCUCUGAUGGGGCACCUGAUGGAGCUGAGGAUGUCCCUGCUCAUUGCUGGGAGGUUGGACCAGAUGGUUUUUAAAAGUCCCUUCCAACUCUAAGCUAUGAUUCUACCAUUCUAUAAUAAAAGUUGAGAACAAAGUCUUCCUUACUCCA
This 1248-nucleotide long non-coding RNA is filed under the name Numida meleagris (helmeted guineafowl). RNAcentral describes it as "lncRNA (ENSNMEG00000005392.1)". The record is from RNAcentral. Lineage: Eukaryota; Metazoa; Chordata; Aves; Galliformes; Numididae.